This is a long non-coding RNA of Pundamilia nyererei, 923 nucleotides long. RefSeq lists it as uncharacterized. The record is from RefSeq and is a predicted model, not a curated record. The transcript has 4 exons. NCBI's taxonomy places the organism in Eukaryota, Metazoa, Chordata, Actinopteri, Cichliformes, Cichlidae.
CCUGUUGGUGGUGAAAUGGUUUUCAUGCAGGUGACCAAAUUGCCUAACCGGACAUAAGUCGAGUGCAGUACUGAAACAGACUCCCUGAGAAGAUGGUGCAACCUGCCAGAGGGUCCUGAAAAAUGCAAACGCACACACAAAAGAUUGCAUGCGUUACUGUACCUUAGGAUACAAACUCUAACAGGUUUUUCCAAACGUGACAGGGUGGAGUUUUCAUUUUGUUUUUCUUUUGUUUUUUUACUGAAACAUGUUUACAAAAGGAUAUACACCACCCACUUUGUUUUCCUGUCUUGGAUUAAACAAUAAUUGCUCAGAUAGGAAGAAAAAACAAAGGCUUACUGCUUCCGAGCGACUGAAACGGGUCACUGGUGGUGGCAGGUGGGAGGGUAAAAGUGCCCGAUCAGCUCAGAAACCAAUCAAGUAUUUAUCUAUAAGUUAAAAAAUGGGAAGGGGGUUCAAAUAGUUUUUUUACACAUUUAGUCCAACAUUUUAAUAACUCAAAGUCUUUUCAAACAGGAUAGUUUCUUGCUGUGUGCUGGAUCACACGAGCAGCUGACUCCCACACAGUGACCAGAAAAGAUGAACCUGCAUAAGAGAAACAGCACCUCUGCUCGUGUGUAAAAUGUGCUCCACUUUCCCUCCAGAGUUAGAAAACAUGGAUUUAAAAAAAAAAAAAAAUCCAGCCUUCAACAAGUGACCACAAAGAUAAUAGGGAACACAAAGACUGCUGAGAAAUAAAGCAGGGGGCUUGCUCAUUAGGUAAUGUCCUUGUACAUUCCCAAAGAUGACCUCAUUCAUGCACUGUGUGCAUCAUCAAAGUCUGUUGGCUGUCCCGCCUGUGUGCAUGUUUAAACAAUGCCAAAACUCUGAUGUACUCAUUUCUUACUUUGUCCAUCCUGCUCACUCCCAAUAAAACCUUUAAC